Daphnia carinata is the source of this 891-nucleotide long non-coding RNA. RefSeq lists it as uncharacterized. Lineage: Eukaryota; Metazoa; Arthropoda; Branchiopoda; Diplostraca; Daphniidae. The transcript is spliced from 6 exons. The record is from RefSeq and is a predicted model, not a curated record.
CUGCAAUUCCUUCAGGAAAUUCUUAUUAACCGUCAAUAUGAUGCAAUACUUGGAUUGGAAGUUAGGGAGACCUGGCGGAAGUUAUUGGGAGACGUGUUCUGUAAAGAAUUUUUUUAAUGUUGGUGUUUUUCCCAACAUCCAACAACGGCUAUUUAGAAAAUCGUUUGUACUUCUACGAGAUGGUGGUUGCAAAACAUAAGCGUAGCAGAUUUCUUUUGUAGAGGGAUAGAAGCAGAUAGCUCGGAUGUACCAGAUGGUAUCUAAUUUCAGGAAUUUUCAAUACUCAAUAUUUGUUCAGAUAACAGAUACAAAUUUAAAAAACAGUUGAUGGAAAAUAAUGGUGUUGUGUUAGUGCUUGAACUAUUUGGGAACUUACUUGUUCCGUGCUAUUAACUUCCUUGUAGACAGGAGGCCAAUAGCCCAAAAGACCAUGGAUUGCUGAUCUGUCAUCUGAGGUGGAAUUCUACCUGACAGCACAAGUUAGCCAAAUAUCAUUUUAGCUAAGAUUCCCUAGUUCCACAUGACAUUCGGAAUUCUUGAAAAAUAGCAACUGACACCUGCAGAUCAAAGUAAACUUAAGGUGGAUUAUAUAUUUUAAAAAGGAACCAGUUUAGAGGUGAACGCGAGAAAAAUCUCAGCACGAAGUAUGCAAAAGGUCAACCACUGUUAUGUGCCAAAACGUAUAUAUGCGCCAAAUCCAGGAAAGAAAUACUGCCAAGACUAGUAGCAGCUAAAAUGGGUGACAACACGCUUAUCAUUGCAUUCAUGUAUGGUCAUUAUAUCGUAUGCCGCAUCAACGAAAAAUUUCAAUGUCAUCUCUUUUUUUUUUUUUUUUCCCUUUCUUCGCUUUUAAAACUUACGUUUUUUGUUUGACAACUAGAUGUCGCUGCU